This 497-nucleotide ribosomal RNA is filed under the name uncultured bacterium. RNAcentral's name for it is "partial 16S ribosomal RNA". It matches the Rfam family "Bacterial small subunit ribosomal RNA", at positions 28 to 507 of the family's 1533-position model. The record is from RNAcentral.
GAUGAACGCUGGCGGCGUGCCUAAUACAUGCAAGUCGAGCGAACGGACGAGAAGCUUGCUUUUCUGAUGUUAGCGGCGGACGGGUGAGUAACACGUGGAUAACCUACCUAUAAGACUGGGAUAACUUCGGGAAACCGGAGCUAAUACCGGAUAAUAUUUUGAACCGCAUGGUUCAAAAGUGAAAGACGGUCUUGCUGUCACUUAUAGAUGGAUCCGCGCUGCAUUAGCUAGUUGGUAAGGUAACGGCUUACCAAGGCAACGAUGCAUAGCCGACCUGAGAGGGGGACCGGCCCACCGGGAAAGGGACACCGGCCCAGACCCCUACGGGAGGCAGCAGUAGGGAAUCUUCCGCAAUGGGCGAAAGCCUGACGGAGCAACGCCGCGUGAGUGAUGAAGGUCUUCGGAUCGUAAAACUCUGUUAUUAGGGAAGAACAUAUGUGUAAGUAACUGUGCACAUCUUGACGGUACCUAAUCAGAAAGCCACGGCUAACUACGUG